Molecule: ribosomal RNA, 497 nt
Filed under: uncultured bacterium
Lineage: Bacteria
Description: partial 16S ribosomal RNA
Rfam family: Bacterial small subunit ribosomal RNA
Source: RNAcentral
GAUGAACGCUGGCGGCGUGCCUAAUACAUGCAAGUCGAGCGGACAGAUGAGGAGCUUGCUCCUCUGACGUUAGCGGCGGACGGGUGAGUAACACGUGGAUAACCUACCUAUAAGACUGGGAUAACUUCGGGAAACCGGAGCUAAUACCGGAUAAUAUGUUGAACCGCAUGGUGCAAUAGUGAAAGACGGUUUUGCUGUUACUUAUAGAUGGAUCCGCGCCGCAUUAGCUAGUUGGUAAGGUAACGGCUUACCAAGGCAACGAUGCGUAGCCGACCUGAGAGGGUGAUCGGCCACACCGGAACUGAGACACGGUCCAGACUCCUACGGGAGGCAGCAGUAGGGAAUCUUCCGCAAUGGGCGAAAGCCUGACGGAGCAACGCCGCGUGAGUGAAGAAGGUCUUCGGAUCGUAAAACUCUGUUAUUAGGGAAGAACAAAUGUGUAAGUAACUAGGCACGUCUUGACGGUACCUAAUCAGAAAGCCACGGCUAACUACGUG